CGGGUCGUUUAAAGCCAUUAUGUCAACAUCCUAAGCUCGAACGUACCCGAAGGUCGGCCAUAAAGGCGAGCUGCAGUCCUCAGUCUCACCCAGUGUAUGUGACAAUAGGCUAUAACACUUCCGGAGAAGCUACAUUCCUACUGCCUUUAUCCACCGGACAAAACUGAUGUUGACCCGUUCAAAGGAAGUAGACCAGCAGAACUGGCUGAAUCCAAAGAACACGACUGACUUCAAUCGUUUCCCUUUCAACAAUUUCACGUACUGUUUAACUCUCUUUCCAAAGUGCUUUUCAUCUUUCCCUCACGGUACUUGUUCGCUAUCGGUCUCUCGCCAAUAUUUAGCUUUAGAUGGAAUUCACCACCCAUUUUGAGCUGCAUUCCCAAACAACUCGACUCGUAGAAGACGUAUCACAGAGCACCGGUGGUCGUGUUAAGUACGGGAUUAUCACCCUCUUUGAUACUCCUUUCCAGGAGACUUGGACACGGUCCGGCACGGAAAACGCCUCUAUAGAUUACAACUCGGACAAUCGAAGACUGCCAGAUUUCAAAUUUGAGCUCUUCCCGCUUCACUCGCCGUUACUAGGGGAAUCCUUGUUAGUUUCUUUUCCUCCGC
RNAcentral lists this ribosomal RNA (612 nucleotides) under Trichosporon coremiiforme. Its description in RNAcentral is "partial 26S ribosomal RNA". The record is from RNAcentral. Lineage: Eukaryota; Fungi; Basidiomycota; Tremellomycetes; Trichosporonales; Trichosporonaceae.